CACACACAUAUAUAUAGUUUGUGUGUAUAUAUGUAUAUAUAUGUAUGUAUACAUAGAUAUAUAUGUGUGUAUAUACAUAUACACACAUAUAUAUACAUAUAUAUGUAUAUA
Molecule: microRNA precursor, 111 nt
Filed under: Sorex araneus (European shrew)
Lineage: Eukaryota; Metazoa; Chordata; Mammalia; Eulipotyphla; Soricidae
Description: miRNA (ENSSARG00000017390.1)
Source: RNAcentral